RNAcentral lists this ribosomal RNA (479 nucleotides) under uncultured bacterium. Its description in RNAcentral is "bacterial SSU rRNA". It matches the Rfam family "Bacterial small subunit ribosomal RNA", at positions 29 to 507 of the family's 1533-position model. The record is from RNAcentral.
AUGAACGCUAGCGGCAGGCUUAACACAUGCAAGUCGAGGGGUAGAAGCAGCUUGCUGCUUUGAGACCGGCGCACGGGUGCGUAACGCGUAUGCAAUCUACCUUUUACAGAGGGAUAGCCCAGAGAAAUUUGGAUUAAUACCUCAUAGUAUGUGAGAAUCGCAUGGUUUUCACAUUAAAGUUCCAACGGUAAAAGAUGAGCAUGCGUCCCAUUAGCUAGAUGGUAAGGUAACGGCUUACCAUGGCGACGAUGGGUAGGGGUCCUGAGAGGGAGAUCCCCCACACUGGUACUGAGACACGGACCAGACUCCUACGGGAGGCAGCAGUGAGGAAUAUUGGACAAUGGGCGCAAGCCUAAUCCAGCCAUGCCGCGUGCAGGAUGACGGUCCUAUGGAUUGUAAACUGCUUUUGUACAGGAAGAAACACUCCCUCGUGAGGGAGCUUGACGGUACUGUAAGAAUAAGGAUCGGCUAACUCCGUG